GACGAACGCUGGCGGCGCGCUUAACACAUGCAAGUCGAACGGAAGGGCCCUACUUUUGUGGGGUGCUCGAGUGGCGAACGGGUGAGUAACGCGUGAGUAACCUGCCCUAGAGUUUGGGAUAACAGCAGGAAACUGGGGCUAAUACCGGAUAGGAGCUCCAGCCGGAUGGGGGGGGAUGGAAAGGGGCGGCGGUGGGGGAUGGACUCGCGGCUUAUCAGCUUGUUGGUGGGGUAGUGGCUUACCAAGGCUGUGACGGGUAGCCGGCCUGGGAGGGUGACCGGCCACGUUGGGAUUGGGAUACGGCCCAGCCUCCUACGGGAGGCAGCGGUGGGGAAUAGUGCACUAUGGGCGGAAGCCUGAUGCAGCAACGCCGCGUGGGGGAUGACGGCCUUCGGGUUGUAAACCGCUUUCGCCUGUGACGAAGCGUGAGUGACGGUAAUGGGUAAAGAAGCACCGGCUAACUACGUG
RNAcentral lists this ribosomal RNA (468 nucleotides) under uncultured bacterium. Its description in RNAcentral is "partial 16S ribosomal RNA". It matches the Rfam family "Bacterial small subunit ribosomal RNA", at positions 28 to 507 of the family's 1533-position model. The record is from RNAcentral.